CUACGGGGGGCUGCAGUGGGGAAUAUUGCACAAUGGGCGCAAGCCUGAUGCAGCCAUGCCGCGUGUGUGAAGAAGGCCUUCGGGUUGUAAAGCACUUUCAGCGGGGAGGAAGGCGGUGAGGUUAAUAACCUCAUCGAUUGACGUUACCCGCAGAAGAAGCACCGGCUAACUCCGUGCCAGCAGCCGCGGUAAUACGGAGGGUGCAAGCGUUAAUCGGAAUUACUGGGCGUAAAGCGCACGCAGGCGGUCUGUCAAGUCGGAUGUGAAAUCCCCGGGCUCAACCUGGGAACUGCAUUCGAAACUGGCAGGCUAGAGUCUUGUAGAGGGGGGUAGAAUUCCAGGAGUAGCGGUGAAAUGCGUAGAGAUCUGGAGGAAUACCGGUGGCGAAGGCGGCCCCCUGGACAAAGACUGACGCUCAGGUGCGAAAGCGUGGGGAGCAAACAGGAUUAGAUACCCGAGUAGUC
RNAcentral lists this ribosomal RNA (464 nucleotides) under uncultured Klebsiella sp. RNAcentral's name for it is "bacterial SSU rRNA". It matches the Rfam family "Bacterial small subunit ribosomal RNA", at positions 339 to 795 of the family's 1533-position model. The record is from RNAcentral. Lineage: Bacteria; Pseudomonadati; Pseudomonadota; Gammaproteobacteria; Enterobacterales; Enterobacteriaceae.